UCGUUUUACCUGGUUUAAAUAGCUUCUCCGUCCAGGGCAAAAAGCAAAUGCAGUAUUGACUUUAUUCUUUCUUUGCCUUAUUCUUUUUUGCCGAUAACUAGUCAUCUAAUAUGCCAUUUAAGUGACUUAUCUUGUUAAUUUUCUCCCUUCAAUUAAAACGUAGUCUCCUUCAAGCUUCUUCAUUCAUUAAGCAAGGAUACAGUGAGCUCCAGUUAUGUGCGUGGCUGUCUUUUGAAUUCUAGAAAUACAAAGAUGAACAAGGCAGAAGCCUGACAGCAAAGAGCCCCAAUGGUCCUAUGAUAGCUGUAAGAAUGCUACAAACAGUCUGCAAUGAGACAAAGCUUCCAUAAAGGAUGAAGUUAGUCCUGGGCAUAAUAUCAGAGGUGUUUACAGAAUCAUUUAAAAAAUUUUUCAAAACAUGAGUUAUUAAGCUGGAAACGUUGAAAAAGAACUCCUCCAAGCCUCUGUGAGCAGCCAGCCAAACUAAAAUUUGUAAAACUUGGCUGAAGCUUUUGGCCACUACUCAGAAUGUAGAUAAGAGCAUCUCCGGGGUGCCAAAAGAUAUUUUCCUGUAGUGAUGGAGCUCAGGCUUUGGAGACAUCUUUGACACUGGAGGCAGGUGGAGAUUCCAAACUGACCCACUAUGUCUGGAGUUGCUAAUAACAUGCUGGAUGGAGACCAGGCUCCACAAGUCACCCUCUGGAAGGAGGGAAAGCCACAUGCUGAUCCAGAAAGAUGAACUGCUCUUUGCUGUUGCCCUGAAUAGCCUGACCCCAGGGAUGGAACUUGAUAAGUGAAAUUUAGAAGAUUUGGCCAGGGCUCAUUGUUUGAUACCCAGGAGGUGAUUUGCUGACUGAAGCAAAAGCUGUAAUUGUACCAAACAGAGCAUCCCUCCACUUGCUGGAGUUUUGAGCCUGCUCUUUACCCAUCAGAAGCAGCAAGCCUGCUAGGAGCCAGGGCUUCCUCCAAAGUAAGGAGCUCUGCCUUGCAUCUCUUUUGUUAGCUUUAUGCCUAAUUUCUUUGAAAGUUUUUGUUUUGUUUUGUUUUGUUUUUUAAUGGCCACACCUACAGCAUAUGGAAGUUCUUGGGCCAGGGAUUGAAUCCCAGCAGCAGCUGGGACCUAGACUACAGGUGUGGCAAGGGACAAAUGUCGGAUCCUUUAACCCGCUGUGCCUGCAAGGAGAAUGGAAGCUGUGCUGCCACAGCGACCUGAGCUGCUGUGGUGGGAUUCUAAACCCACUAUGCCACAGCAGGAAUUCCCUAAUUUCUUUUAAAGUUUUUGAUGCUCUUAUAAAGAUAUCUUUUGUGUCUAUAACUUUUUCCCUUUAUUAAUGUAAUCAGAUUUGUUUUGUUCAUGAAUUGGAAUGUGCAGAGACAAAAUAACAUAAAGUACAAGCUCUAGAGCUAGUCUGCCUGAGGUUUGAAUCCUGACUUGUCCUAUUCUAGCUGUAUGACUCUGAGCAGGUUAAUUACUCUGACUCUGUUAAGGUGGUAAUAAUAAUAAUACUUAUUUAGGGAUUGUUGUAAGAUUUUUUUGUCAGAAUUAUAAUAUGUAAGUGUAUGUGAAAGCUUUUUGCACUGUGCCAAAUGUAUAGUGAAUAUCAAUAUGUGCAAUUAUUGUUUUGCUGAUCCUGUGUAUAGCAACAUUGCUAAACUCUUAUUAACUCUAUAAGAGUUUAUCUGCAGAUGCUAAUAGUUUUCUUAAAUGUCCUGUCUACAGUUAGGGAAAACAUUUUUUUCUUUCCAUUCUUUAGUCCUCUUACUUAAUUUUCUUGGUUUUGUUGUACUAGCUAAACUAGCACUAGCUAAUAGAACUUUCUACAAUGAUGGAAAUAUUCAGUAGCUGGGUUGUCCAGUAUGGUUGCCAUAUAUGACUGUUUAGCACUUGAAGUAUGGCUAGUGAGACACGGGAAUUGAAUUUUUAAUUAAAUUUGAAAAACCACCUGUGGCUAGUGGCAACCAUAUCAAAUAGCUGAAGGCCAGACCCUCUGCUACAGUGUAGAGGAAUGGUUAUAAUAGGGGACCUCUUUGCCUUCACAAGGCACUCCUCUGAGUUCACCAGUAAGUAUGAUAUUUGCUGUAUACUGAAAAAUGCCCUUUAUUCCUAGUUUACUGAGAGUUUUACCAAGAAUUAUCAUUGAAUGCAUAAAAGCAUUUCUGCAUCUAUUCAAAGGAUUGUAGGGUUUUUCUCCUUUACUUUUAUGGUGUGGUGAAUUACACUGAUAGAUUUUUAUCUGAUGUUAAACCACUCUUGUGUUUCUGGGAUGAAUCCUCCUUAAUCGUGAUGCAUUUUUAAAAUACACUGCUGUACUUGAUAAUAUUUUGUUUAGGAUCUUUGCAUCUAUGGUCAUUAGUAAUAUGAAUCUAAAAUAUUCAGUAUUUUGAAUAUUGUCUUUGGGUGUACACAUUGCAUCAGGACAUGCAUUGGGAGUCUUCCCACUUUUUCUGUUCUCUGCAACCGUGUUUAUAAAGGGGAGGGAGGCUUCUCUGUUCUUUGAAAGUUGGGAAAAUUUCUCAUGAAACUGGCUGAACCUGCCCUGGUGGAGAAGAGGACAGGUUUUUCAGAUUUCAAAUUUAAUUCCAUGAUUAUUGGUUUUCUUAUUUUUUCUUGAGCUGUUUUUGUUAAGUGAGGUGUUUUUAUACUUUUCCAUUUCCUCUAGUUUUCAAAGCAGUGCAGUGUUGACCCUAGGCUAAUCUUGCUGGGGUCGGGGUGGGCUUAUGUAGGGAAUGGGUCCCCCCCUUAACACCAGCACCUUGCUUCGAAUCUCUGUGGACACAAGAUAAUGUUGCUACUAUCUUUCUCACACCUCUAAGAACAGCCCCUACCUCUGGCCUACUUUAUACCGACUUUAUUCUAAAGAAAACUCAGGAAGGUCCCGUGGUGAAGGAAAGGCCGGAUUGUGGGUUCUCUAAUUUUACUUCCCAGUUUUUCCACUACUUCUUGAUAAAGAGGCAGUUUAGGUUCUUGGAUUUGCAAAUCCAGUUUGGAGGCCGGUCUCCUUCCCUGAUCUACCUUCUGCCUGGGAAAUCUACGUUCAACCUCACCAAAGUGCACUCCGCAAAGGCAGCUCUCGAGCAGCCCCAAAUAAUUUCUGCGCCAAGAAAGUGGAUUCCCCAUCCCAAGGCCGGUAGUGGUCCUGCCUCUCCCCAAGGAGGGCUAACUGUGUGGUGCCUCGGGCAGGUGGACCGAAAGCGACAUCGAGCGGGUUUGGGGAGCCACGAGCAACAACUACCUUUCGCGCAGGCCAGCCUGCCUGCUGGUUUCGAUUCAAUCACCCUUGGCCUAUAUGUCGAAUCUCACGAGCGGCGACCAGGUGAGUCCUGGGCUCCCACAAGUUCAAGAACCCACCGGCGCGGAUAGGACCUUGUACUUCAGGAAGGACCUUCCCUAGAGGCGCCCAACUCCCGAGGGCGGCUGGAGAGAGCCCGGGGGUCCCAGCGUCCCGCGCGCGCGCUAGGAUUUCAAAUCCCGCCUUCCGCAGGAAACUGGUGUGGGUGAGGCAGUUCCGUGGCCUUGGGCGGAGGAAUCUUUCUGCGAAGCAGGCGAUGCUGGCUCAGCACCACAGCAACUGUCUCUGUGAAGCCAAGCGAAGAUUUCAGAGCUGGUCCCUGCCGCGGUGUCACCGCAGCAGACAGCCUCGGCGCACUGCAUCGCCUGGACGGCUGGUGUCUGUUCGACCGCCACCAGGGGGUGAUACGCCCUCACCCUUCCUCCAGGAUGCAGCCACUGACGGAGAGGACAGUGGGUCUCAGGCAUCCCAAACCCGGAGUCUCAGCUCAGGGUGUCACCUAAGCCAGGCUCAUUCCUUCUGCAGAUUACAAGGCAGCCCUGGGAAGUCCUGGCUUUUGGACUUACACACCUUGGCCCUCCAAAGGUGGGAGUUCUCAGGCCAUCCAAAAAUGUUGGAGGGCAAUCCCCUUUGGGGCGUUCGAGCUUAAUUGAUGGACAGUGACUGUGGCCUUUAGGCCACCAUAAGGUUCCUGGCAGAGAUGGGCUCAAAAUCACUGCCAGAUUCUAGACAAGGCUGUCACUGACAAAAACAGAUUGAUGAAUCGCCAAUUUGAGGGGGGAAUCUGAGAGCUGAGGACCAAAGGGAUCUUACAGCAGUGGUGAUGGCCGGGGUGUACAGGGAAACCCCGCCGCCGCCGCCCCCGCCGCCCCCGCCCCGAGGUUACCCAAGCCUGAGAGCUUGAGCCCAGAAGAACAGAGAGAGCAGAACGUUCAUUGUGAGAUCUUUCUCAUCAGGUCAAUAAUGAUAGAUGUCCUUGACUGGCUGCCUACUAGGAGCCAGCUGGAACUACUACAUAACCUCCUUUAGUCCAAACCAGAACCCAGUGAAGUUUGAACUGCUGCUGUCCUUGUGCUGUGGGUGAGGGAACUGAGGCUCAGGAAACUUAGGUUACACCGGAAGUGGCAAAGUUAAGACUGAAACCCAGGUCUGACUGACGCCUAGUCCUCGUGUUUAUUCCCUUUGCCAUAAUAACCGUAAUAAUCAAAGUUAACUCCACUGAGCAUUUAAUAUCUGCCAAACAGUGCGUGAAAUGUUUUUGUAAUGCCUUAUUUAUCCUCAUAACAACCCUGUUAUUAUCACAGUGCCUCAUACAGGUGUCCCUCACUUUUCAAAAGUUUGCUUCACAUUUACAGAUUUGCCAUCAGUACCCGUUUUCACUAACAAAGAAAUUGGAAGAGGAAUUUCACCUUGAUGCCAUAAAUCAACAGCAUUCAGCGUUUGUCUUGCGGAAGCCCUUAUAGAGGCAGCACACUCCCCAAACUGCAAGAGUGGCAUCACCAAACUUUUUCCCUAGGAACUUUACUCAGUAUCUCAGCAUCAAGCCACCAAGCUUUGAACUGUGUCUGGGAGCAUCUGUGCUUUAUCUUGAUUUGUUUUGUGCAUCCGUUAGCAAGAUGUGUCCUAAGGUAAUUGCUUUUCCCUUUACACCAGUUCAGCUUACAACAUGUUUCAUGGGAAUGCUCUGCUGUCAGAAGUGGGAGGAAACCUGUAUUUAUAUACAUCUUGUAGUUAUCAUAGUACUCUAUUUAAUCCUCAUCACAACCCUACAAAGUAGGUAUUAUUAUCAUCACUCUCAUUUUUUUGGUAAAUAAAUUAUACUUUAAUUUUAAAAAUAACAGGCAAGUAUUACUGAUAAAUAUAGAUGCAAAAGUUAUCAAUGAAAUACUAGCAAACCAAAUUCAACAGUAUAGUGACAGGUUCAUACACCAGGAUCAAAUGGAAUUUAUCCCUGGAAUGCAAGGAUAAUAUAUCUUAUGUAAACCAAAUAUGCAAUGUACCACAUUAAUAGAAUGAAAUAUGAAAAUCAUAUGAUAACCCCAGUAGAUGCAGAAGGAAUUUAUGAAAUAAUUAAAACAUCCUUCCAUGAUUAAAUAAAAAAAACUCAACAAAUUUCUGUACAAAGGACAUUCCUCAACACAAUAAAGGUCAUACUGAAAAAAUUCACAGCAAACAUCCUAUUCAAUGGUAUUAGCACUCAUUUUAUAGGGAGGUAAACUAAGACAUAGAGGACCAAGAAAUUUUCCCUCAGUUACACAGCUAAUAACCAGAAAAGUUAGAUUUGAACCCAGGCAGUCCCACCCCAGGGCUCAUCACUAGCUACCAUGUUUUCUUGCUCAUUCUGUUAUAGGCGCUCCACCCCACCUCUUCUCAAGAAUUUCAUCUGAGGCAAGCUGAGAAGGUGUGAAAACUCCUCAAUGCCCUCUAACCAGUGUGGCUGAUGUCAUCCUUUCAGUCAUCUGCGUUAUAUAUUAUGCUAUGACUUGGUGCAGCCCCACAAUUCCUGUACACCGUGGGGAUGGAGCUCAUGCAGGCCCUAUAUUCCCAUUAUGAGGGACCCUCUGCCGAAUACACUGGCCUCUUAUCCAGUGCAUAUCAGCUAGGUUAGGAGAUUUAGGCAGAAAAAUCUUUUUCUUUCUUUUCUUUCCUUUUAUUUUUUAAGCACGAAUGUCUGUCUGGGUUUAUUGCCUCCCCCAGUUACCAGGUGUAUAGAAGAGUCCAAAUCUAGGCAAUAAAUAUCUGAAAAUAUCUGAAUUGUUGACUCAAGUUCAAGAAGAUGAGGUAGGUCACACCCACGUGGAAGUAAGACUACUGCCAUUUUGAUGAGGUGUUUGAAAUGGAUUUUGUGAGGUUGUAUCUGUAUGGUAGAGCCUGAUCCAGUUGGCUUUACUCUUACUGUUUCCCAGCAGGGUUCUUAAGGUUUAGUAUGUAAAGAGAA
This is a non-coding RNA of Sus scrofa (pig), 6228 nucleotides long. NCBI's taxonomy places the organism in Eukaryota, Metazoa, Chordata, Mammalia, Artiodactyla, Suidae. The record is from RefSeq and is a predicted model, not a curated record.